Long non-coding RNA from Oreochromis aureus, 1074 nucleotides. Lineage: Eukaryota; Metazoa; Chordata; Actinopteri; Cichliformes; Cichlidae. The record is from Ensembl.
UGCAGUGUUUGGGUCCAGAAUGACAGGACUGAAGUGGACCUUCUCCUUCAUCUUCUCCCACACUCUGAAGGACAGGUUGCCCAGGUGUUUGGCCACAUCUAUCAGUGCUCCUGAGACCAGCUGUGGAUCUGACACUGAGCUCUGGGCUCUGGCUCUGCUCUGAGUGUCUUUAUAACUGCUGAGGAAUGGCACGCUGUGUUUCUGCAGCUCUUCUUCAACAGCAGAGAUGCUGUCUGACAGAGAGGAGAUCUGCUCCUCAAUCAUCUUCAUCUCUCUGCUGAUAGUCCUCCCCUUCUGCUCCUCUUCCUCCCUCAGAGCUGCCAGUCUGGACUCCUCUUCCUCUUUCAGGAACUGCUGGAGCUUGUUGAACUCUGCUCUGAUCUGCCUCUCUGUGGACAACAGCUGCUUCUUCAUGUGUUCCCUCAUUUCAUUGUAUGUUUCCUCCACUUGUUUGUAUUUGUUCCUCUUGUCCUGCAGAGACUUUAAGUCAGAUUUCAGCUGCUCCUUCAGGUCACUGACUGCUUCUUCUACAGGAACCACUUUGUGACUCUGGUGGAGAGAAAACUCACACACAGGACACACAGCUCUCUGCUCGUCCACACAGAACAGUUUAGGCACUUCCUCAUGUUUACUGCACACCACUGUUAAUUUCUUCUCUCCUUUUUCUGUCUCAGAUGAUCCAGAUUUCUUUGUGUCAGUAAAUGAAUCAGCAAGUUCUUUCAGUGUAAAGUUCACAUCAGGACGAUCCUUUGAAGAUUUUCUUUUACAAAUGGGACAGUUUUUGUUUUUAGCUUUGUGGCGGAGGUGUGGUCCCGGGCGCGGCUGCAGGGGAGGAGUGGUGCAGUGAGCUCAACGGGACGGUGCUGGAGAGGCAGUCUGGUAUGGUGCAGCCACUAAACAGGACAGGAGCAGACUGCAGCGGACUGUACGGGCAGCUGAAAAGAUCAUCGGCGUCCCCCCUGCCCUCCACACUGCUAGGCUGCAACUGCACCUUACAUUCUGUGGCUUUCAUUUCAUUUCUGCAAUCAUGUAUAUAUAGAGAGAGAGAGUGAGUGAGAGAGACAGAGAUGUGUG